GGUCAAGCUACUAAGGGCCCACGGGGGAUGCCUUGGCGUCAAGGGCCGAAGAAGGGCGUGGCAAGACUGCGAUAAGCCUCGGUUAGCCGUUUAGCAGGCUUAACCGGGGAUUCCCGAAUCGGAGAACCGGCGACGGAGAAACCGUCGCAUCCCAUGCUGAACACAUUAGGCAUGGGAUGGUAAGCGGGGGAACUGAAACAUCUAAUUACCCCGAGGAAAAUAAAGCAACCGCGAUUCCCUGAGUAGUGGUGAGCGAAAAGGGAACAGCCCAAACCUAGAGGGCUUAACGGACUGAGGUCCUAUGCCUUUUGGGUGUUGUACGACAUUCCAGCGGAAGCCUCAGCAACCGCACGGAGUUACAAAUCUAAUUUCUAGCUAAAGGUUCCUGGAAGGGACCGCCAUAGAGGGUGAUAGCCCCGUAGGCGAAAGGGAUUAGACUCCGGGUUUGUUCGUGAGUACCACGGGACACGUGGAAUCCUGUGGGAAGCUGGGGGGACCACCCUCCAAGGCUAAAUACCCUUGACGACCGAUAGUGCACAAGUACCGUGAGGGAAAGGUGAAAAGAACCCCUGUAGGGGAGUGAAAUAGAUCUGAAACCGUGGGCCUACAAGCGAUCGGAGCUCCAGCUUGCUGGAGUGACGGUGUGCCUAUUGAAGAAUGAGCCAGCGAGUUACUUCUGUGUGGCAAGGUUAAGGAAUAUAAACGUUCCGGAGCCGAAGCGAAAGCGAGUCUGAAUAGGGCGUUGAGUCGCACGGAGUAGACCCGAAACCAGGUGAGCUACCCAUGGCCAGGGUGAAGCUCGGAUAGUCUCCGAGUGGAGGCCCGAACCGGUGAAUGUUGCAAAAUUCUCGGAUGAGCUGUGGGUAGAGGUGAAAUGCCAAACGAACCUGGAGAUAGCUGGUUCUCCCCGAAAUGCAUUUAGGUGCAGCCUCUAGGGGGAGGAACGGAGGUAGGGCUCUGAAUGGGCUAGCGGGCGUGAGUCUAGCAAACCCAAUCAAACCACAAAUGCCGUUCUAUCCAUGCCUAGGGAGUGAGACUAUGGGGGAUAAGCUCCAUAGUCGAAAGGGAAACAGCCCAGACCGCCGAUUAAGGCCCCUAAAUAUAUGCUCAGUGUCAAAGGAAGUUAGAUCGCUCAGACAGCCAGGAGGUUGGCUUAGAAGCAGCCACCCUUUAAAGAGUGCGUAAUAGCUCACUGGUCGAGGGGUCUUGCGCCGACAAUUUAUCGGGGCUUAAGCAUGUUGCCGAAAUCGCGGCUUCUCGAGUAAUCGAGAGGGGUAGGGGAGCGUUCCCUGGGCGUCGAAGCUUCACCGUGAGGUGGGGUGGAGCGCAGGGAAGUGAGAAUGCUGGCAUGAGUAGCGUAAAGGUGUGUGAGAAUCACACCCGUCGAAAGUCUAAGGUUUCCUACGCAACGUUGGUCGUCGUAGGGUUAGCCGGUCCUAAGCCGAGGCCGAAGGGCGUAGGCGAUGGAUAACUGGUCAAUAUUCCAGUGCCACCUUUUUUUCGUUUUAAGGUUAAGGAGGGACACGGUAAGCUAGGUGAAGCGUGCCUAUUGGACAUGGUGCGUCCGAACUUGUAGGCCAUCCCGGGAUAGGAAAAUCCGUUCUGGGGCUAAGAGCUGAGGAGUGAGGCAACCCUAGGGUUAGCCCUAGGGAAGUUUGCUGAGGCUACACCGGCAAGAAAAACUUCGUAACUAGAAUCAGGGGUGUCCGUACCGCAAACCGACACUGGUGGACUGCCGUAAGCACGGUAAGACGGACGGGAGAAACUUCCUUAAGGAACUCGGCAAUCUAACUCCGUAACUUCGGGAUAAGGAGUGCCCUGGGGCGUGUAACUCUUCGCGAGUGAAGCGUUUCGGGGUCGCAGCAAAGAGGCCCUGGUGACUGUUCAUCACAAACACAGGUCCCUGCUUAAGUCGCAAGACGAUGUAUAGGGGCUGACGCCUGCCCAGUGCCGGAAGGUCAAGGGGAAUGGUGAGAGCUAUGAACCGAAGCCCCGGUGAACGGCGGCCGUAACUAUAACGGUCCUAAGGUACCGAAAUCCCUUGUCGGGUAAAUUCCGACCCGCAGGAAAGGCGUAACGACUUGGUCGCUGUCUCAACGAAGGACUCGGCGAAAUUGCAAGGCCCGUGAAGAUGCGGGUAUCCCGCGACAGGACAAAAAGACCCCGUGGAGCUUUACUGCAACUUGACAUUGGACCGGGGGCUGGGAUGUGUAGGAUAGGUGGGAGGCUAUGAAGUUUCGACGCCAGUCGAGAUGGAGCCGACGUUGAAAUACCACUCUUCUCUGUCUUUGGCUCUAACCCUGGAUAGGCCAGGGGACCGUGUCAGGCGGGCAGUUUGACUGGGGCGGUCGCCUCCUAAAAGGUAACGGAGGCGCCCAAAGGUUCCCUCAAGGUGGAUGGAAAUCACCUGCAGAGUGUAUUGGCAUAAGGGAGCUUGACUGCGAGACCUACAAGUCGAGCAGGGACGAAAGUCGGGCAAAGUGAUCCCACGGUACCGUGUGGAAGGGCCGUGGCUUAUCGGAUAAAAGCUACCCCGGGGAUAACAGACUAAUCUCCCCCAAGAGUUCACAUCGACGGGGAGGUUUGGCACCUCGAUGUCGGCUCGUCCCAU
RNAcentral lists this ribosomal RNA (2611 nucleotides) under Gammaproteobacteria bacterium. Its description in RNAcentral is "bacterial LSU rRNA". It matches the Rfam family "Bacterial large subunit ribosomal RNA", at positions 1 to 2545 of the family's 2925-position model. The record is from RNAcentral. Lineage: Bacteria; Pseudomonadati; Pseudomonadota; Gammaproteobacteria.